AAACUUCGAAAUUUGAACACAAAAAAUGAGAAAUAUAGUGUCCUUAUUUAUCCUUAUUUUGAAAAACACGAUAGACAGUUGGCAAUGAAUUAUAAAUAUUUACAUCAUUAUAUCUCAAACAGAUAUAUGUAAGCGCCGGUUCAGAUAAAGACCAAAACGAUCAGCAUCGUCACUUUGACAAAAUACAUCAAGAACAUCAGACGUGUAUUCCCUAAUUUUGGAAGAUGGCGAAAUUUCAACGUGAUCUAGGCAUUGCGCUAAUAUUUUGGUUCGGUUUAUUUACAUUUGCAACAUGUCAUGUAGUACCAGAAGGCACGAAUUUACGAUUUGUGAGCGCGCUUUUCAGACAUGGCGAUCGUACAGUAGACACUGAAAACCAUGAAACUUAUCCAAAUGAUCCAUAUAAAGAUAUAGUCUACUAUCCAGAUGGCUCCGGUCAGUUAACUAAUGUAAGAGAUAUUUUACUUAUACGUUAUAUAACAUAUAUUACAUUUUAUUUUUAAUCUUUUUACUAUUGAUAUCGUCUCCCAGUGAGCAUUAUUGAGAGGAUGAGCUCUUUAAGAGGACUUUUUAAAGACUUAAUUAAAUUUUCUUAGAAAUGAUAUCAGUAAGUUAUCUUUUUGUAAGGUAUCUUUCAGAAGAGCUCUUUAUGAUAUUUCUUCAUAGAUAUCUCUAAAGUCUCUAGCAAGCGUGCCAAUUAAGAUAUUUUACAAACGCCGCACACAUGCGCAAGCAACGUACGUGUGAACUAGAGACCCUGUGUUCAAGUGUGAACUGCGUGCCAUUGCGUGCCAUUUCUUUAUCCAACCUAAGAAGAUGGGUUAUGUCUUCAAAAAGCACAUGUUGCAAAAUCAUAAAUUUCUUUAAAUAAAAAAAAAAU
Molecule: long non-coding RNA, 880 nt
Organism: Formica exsecta
Lineage: Eukaryota; Metazoa; Arthropoda; Insecta; Hymenoptera; Formicidae
Exons: 3
Source: RefSeq, a predicted model, not a curated record